Molecule: ribosomal RNA, 611 nt
Filed under: uncultured bacterium
Lineage: Bacteria
Description: bacterial SSU rRNA
Rfam family: Bacterial small subunit ribosomal RNA
Source: RNAcentral
GUGGUAUACGAUGGAUCCGCGUCUGAUUAGCUUGUUGGCGGGGUAAAGGCCCACCAAGGCGACGAUCAGUAGCCGGCCUGAGAGGGUGAACGGCCACAUUGGGACUGAGACACGGCCCAAACUCCUACGGGAGGCAGCAGUGGGGAAUAUUGCACAAUGGGGGAAACCCUGAUGCAGCGACGCCGCGUGAGUGAAGAAGUAUUUCGGUACGUAAAGCUCUAUCAGCAGGGAAGAAAAUGACGGUACCUGACUAAGAAGCCCCGGCUAACUACGUGCCAGCAGCCGCGGUAAUACGUAGGGGGCAAGCGUUAUCCGGAUUUACUGGGUGUAAAGGGAGCGUAGACGGCAGCGCAAGUCUGGAGUGAAAUCCCAUGGCUUAACCAUGGAACUGCUUUGGAAACUGUGCAGCUAGAGUGCAGGAGAGGUAAGCGGAAUUCCUAGUGUAGCGGUGAAAUGCGUAGAUAUUAGGAGGAACACCAGUGGCGAAGGCGGCUUACUGGACUGUAACUGACGUUGAGGCUCGAAAGCGUGGGGAGCAAACAGGAUUAGAUACCCUGGUAGUCCACGCUGUAAACGAUGAUUACUAGGUGUUGGGGGACCAAGGUCCUUCG